GCUGGUGUGGCUCAAUGGCAGAGCAGCUGAUUUGUAAUCAGCAGAUAUGGGUUCGACUCCCAUCGCUUGCU
This 71-nucleotide transfer RNA is filed under the name Clostridia bacterium. RNAcentral's name for it is "tRNA-Thr". It matches the Rfam family "tRNA". Rfam says of the family: Transfer RNA (tRNA) molecules are approximately 80 nucleotides in length. Their secondary structure includes four short double-helical elements and three loops (D, anti-codon, and T loops). Further hydrogen bonds mediate the characteristic L-shaped molecular structure. tRNAs have two regions of fundamental functional importance: the anti-codon, which is responsible for specific mRNA codon recognition, and the 3' end, to which the tRNAs corresponding amino acid is attached (by aminoacyl-tRNA synthetases). tRNAs cope with the degeneracy of the genetic code in two manners: having more than one tRNA (with a specific anti-codon) for a particular amino acid; and 'wobble' base-pairing, i.e. permitting non-standard base-pairing at the 3rd anti-codon position. The record is from RNAcentral. Lineage: Bacteria; Bacillati; Bacillota; Clostridia.